This is an RNA transcript of Frankliniella occidentalis (western flower thrips), 4517 nucleotides long. It is a transcript of the gene named sphingomyelin phosphodiesterase, with no coding region annotated. The record is from RefSeq and is a predicted model, not a curated record. The transcript is spliced from 13 exons. NCBI's taxonomy places the organism in Eukaryota, Metazoa, Arthropoda, Insecta, Thysanoptera, Thripidae.
GCGCAGCGCCGCGCGGCAGUAGGCUCGCGAGGGGCAGUAUGGACGGAUGCAGAGGGCCGGCGGCGCAGGCAGGACACAAGUGACGGGAGGGGCGUUAGACGGGCGGUCAGAGCUCGCGAGUCGUUGGUGUGCGACAAGCAAAGUGAUCCAGCGGCAACAACCUCCUCACUUCCCCCCUAAGUGCUUCCAAACAGCUACCCGCCAACACGGAUACGGAUUUCUAUUACUUCUUCACCUCUCGACUUGGAUUUCGUCGCUUAGCGCAUCACUCGUCCAGGAUGAUUCCGCCAGCCGCCUCCGCCGUCAUCCCCGCCAUCAUCGCCCUGCUGCUGGCCGCUAGCGCCUCGGGUGGCCCAGUGACGCGAUCCGGCGACGCGGCGACGGUGGAGGCCGCCGGGUCGGAGCCCCCGCCCCAGGACGCCGGCGAGUGGUUCGAGGACGACUGGGACGUGGCGGGGCCCGGCGGCAGCCCCGGGGUGGAGCGCUACCAGGUCGUGGAGGGUAGCGAGGGCCCGCCUCCCGGCCGGCCCCCAGCUGGUGGCGACGUGACCAGCAACGACGUGGACACCGCCCCCGCAGCGCCGGGCCGGGGCGGCUCCGCGGGCUCCGUGCUGCAGCCGCGCAACCGCACCCACGUCCUGCCCGCCCCCGCGGCGGCGGCGGCGGCCGACAACCGCCUCCGCUCUGGCGACCAGCUCGACGUGGAGACGGCGCGACAGUUCCAGCUCCUGCGCAUCAACUACACCAGCCUGCUCGCCGACCUGGCCGACCUGGCCGAGAUGGACGGCGGCGCCCUGGACAUGCGCGCGGGCCGCGGGUUGCCCAGGAUCGUCGACAAGGCUCUGUGGCUCUUCGACCUCAAGCAGGUCGUACAGGAGAUCGAGACCAGCGUCAUGUCCAAGGUGUCGUGCACGGCGUGCAAGGCAGGCGUUGGUCUGAUUCAGCAUUACUUAAGAGGCGGCAAAAGUAGGGAUGACAUCAAUAAAAUCGUCUAUCAGUUUUGUGUGAGCCUCAAAAUUCAGUCCCCUCGGGUGUGUGAGGGACUCACUGAGCUCUUUGGAGGAGAGGUGGUCCAUGUAUUGAAACGCGUUUCUCUGGGUCCGGAAGAAGUCUGUUCAUUUGUUAUUGGAGAUGCUUGUGGUGAUGUUUACAACCCAUUCCAUGAGUGGAAAGUGGUUUUCCCUCCUGUCUCAAAGCCAGAAGUUCUAGAGCCCAAAGUUCCAACGGAAGGAGCCCCAUCAUUCAAAGUUCUGCAUUUGUCAGACACACAUUUUGAUCCAUACUACCAAGAAGGAACUAAUGCUGACUGCAAUGAGCCACUUUGUUGUCGUUUGACAAAUGGCCCAGCAUUAUCAAGCUCAACUGCCGCUGGGCGCUGGGGGGAUUACAGAAAAUGUGAUACACCUAAAAGAACAGUUGAUAACAUGCUUCAGCACAUAGCCAGCACCCACCCAGAUAUAGACUAUAUAAUCUGGACUGGUGAUCUUCCCCCACAUGAUGUGUGGAAUCAAACUAGAGAAGAAAAUUUAUCAAUCCUGAAAGAAACAGUUGCUCAAAUGGCGCAACUGUUUCCAGGUAUACCCAUUUUUCCUGCUCUAGGAAACCAUGAAGCUGCUCCAGUGAACAGUUUCCCCCCGCCUUUUGUGCAAAAUGAUUAUUCAAUCAAUUGGCUUUAUGAUGAGCUUGAUGCCCAGUGGAGGCAGUGGCUACCAUCAAGUGUAUCACGCACUGUGAGAAGAGGUGCUUUUUACAGUGUCCUUGUUCGACCUGGUUUCAGAAUUAUAUCUCUCAAUAUGAAUUAUUGCAAUAACAAAAAUUGGUGGCUCCUGUUGAACAGCACAGAUCCAGCAAAAGAAUUGCAAUGGUUUAUCUAUGAACUACAAAGUGCUGAGUUCAACGAGGAAAAAGUCCAUGUAAUCGGUCAUAUUCCACCAGGCCACUCCGACUGUCUCAAAGUAUGGAGUAGAAACUUCUAUCGUAUAAUUAAUAGGUACGAGAGCACAAUUGUGUCUCUGUUUUUUGGUCACACUCAUUAUGAUGAGUUUGAAUUGUUUUAUGAUACUGAAGAUCUAGGGCGAGCAGUUGGUGUUGCUUACAUCGGGCCAUCUGUCACACCCUAUUAUGAUCUUAAUCCGGGAUAUAGAAUUUAUUAUGUUGAUGGUGAUCAUAAGGAUACUACUAGGGCAGUUGUAGACCAUGAAACAUGGGUCAUGAACCUUAAGGAUGCUAAUGUUUACGAUUAUCCACUUUGGUACAAAGAAUACUCUGUUAGAGAAACUUAUGAGAUGCCAUCCCUUCUUCCUCAAGAAUGGGACACAUUAAUCAACAAGAUUGCACAAGAUGGGCCUCUCUUUGAUACAUAUUACAGGCAUUACUGGAAAAAUUCACCUGUCAGACCACCAUGUGAUGGGGAAUGCAAAAAGAGAAUGAUAUGUGAUAUGAGAUCAGGAAAGUCACAUGAUCGCAAAUUCUUGUGUCAGGAAAUUGAGAGUCGUAUUGAUGCAAAUACCAGAACAGGAUGGCGAGCAUGGAUAUACAAUGGACUGGCACUGUCGUAUGUUUCAUUUUAUUGGAUUGCGCAUGUUUUAUUUAACAGCAUAGGACUACUGCUUUUUUAGACUGAUAAUGAGUUUUGGAUUAAGACGCACCAUAAAAUACAACAUACUCUACAAGGGGAAAAAAGGGAUAAAUUAGCCUAAAAUGCUAUUUGUAAGGCACUCAUUCUUGAAUUUCUGCAUUUGAAACUCUGGGUUGAACAAACUUGGCACAAGCACAAAUAAGCAUGAGUAGACAAGAGGGUCAGUUCUGAAGGGUGAUUGUAUUAUUCUAGAUGGUGAUGGUUUGCAUUCUGUAACGGUGAUGGUUUACCUUAAAAUUAUUAUAGUGGUGAAGGAUUUUCAUUGGAAGUAUUCUGGGAUGUCAAUGAUCAUGGCAAUCCCAUCUUUCACAUAUCAAAUACCAAAAUAUGUAUUUGGCCUGGGUUAAUAAGUGCAACUAGAAGCUGGUACAAAAAAAAAUAUUCAUCUGGCAGUGUCUAAUGGCCAGAUAAAAAUCUGUGAAUAUUCUACGGGAGAAGCAAGUUAAAAAAAAGGCCAAACCCUGCAAAGGGAAUAAAGAAAAUGAUUGCCUCAACCAGUGAAACAUUAAUAGUGCUUCAAGAAUAUUUAGAAGUAUUAACCAAUUCUAUGGAGUAAAUGGUUUUGUAUUGAUGCACAACAAAUAAAACUGCAAAACAUGCUGCAUGUGCCAUGUUCUAUCAUUGCAAGGUUGUGCCACAAACCAGACUAAUGACCCUUGCGUAGUCUUCGGGAAGGAAGCAUGUUUCAUAAAAAAGACGUUUGAAAUAAAUGUUUCCAAGACAAUAAUUAAAGACUUGAAAGGAGGAAUCAUAAGUGUAAACAAAGGCUGUGAUGAUUGAUUCAUUUUAUAUGUUGUUAGAAAACAAUGUUUACACAAGAUUUAUCUGAAGAGAUGUUCUACUGAACAAUCAAUGGGGUUAUCUGAAAACUCCAAAACAAGAUUUUGUGGUUGUAUAACAAAAUUUAAUAAUUGCAGUUGAUGCUAACGCAAAGCGUGUGAUGUCUCUCUAAUUCUCCACAACAUUGCUCAAUCAAAAUCUGUACAUAUUGUUUAUUAUUUUCCCAGAGAAAAGAACUGUUGUAAUGUUAAAAUAAUAUGAAUUAUGUUUGUGUUCCCCUGAUGGGUGAUUGUAUGUUUUGGUAUGGGACUGUUUCCACCAAAAGUAAAAUCUUUAAAAAAAGAAAAACAAACAAACCUCUUAGAAAAUUAUUUAAAGCCAAAAUUGCUUUCAGCUUAUGGUAUAAUAAUCAUUGUCAUCCUCAGAUAAUUUUUGUAGAACAGCUAUUAAAUAGAAUAUCUGAUCAUAUUAGAAAAUAAUCUUGAACUAUUAUCCAGUGAUCAUUUUGAUAGUAUCUGUAAUAUCUUUAAAAAGACUUUGGACUGUGCACAAUGUUCCAACUACGUAAUAGGAAUUAAUACAGAAGGAUGAUGUAUUGUACCUUAUUAUCUUAUACAUUUUAUCUAUGUAGCAGUUAACUUUCUCUUCAUGAUCUGUCUUUGCUCUUUUGACUGUAUUUUCAUUAAGUCAAUAGGUAUCAAAGCAAACCUCAGGGACAUAAGAAAACUUGAUUAUGUUAAAACAUGACCAAAUCAAUUAUAAUUUUACUUCUGCAUAUUCCAGAAAUCAUCAAGUGUUCUGUUUAGUGCAAUGCUAUUAUUUAUAUUAGUUCGUAGUAAGAUUUUAAGUCAGCAUUGUUUAGAGUCAACACCUAGCAUAUUUCUAGGUGUCAAUCUAUGUUGCCCACUGGACGAAGGUAGAAUAAAACCAAGAUAUUGGUACAUUGCAUUAUGAGUAGUGAUAGGCUUAUGGUUAAAAUAACUUCAGAUAAGUUAUUUAACAGUGAGGACUUUAGUCAAUGUGAUAAAAUUAAUUUGGAUCAAGUAUGAAAUAUUAGAACUGUUAACAAGGACCAAAAUACACUAUUUGGGAAGGAGUA